CCCUGGUUAGCUACGUUGGUAGGGCGCUCCACCUGUAAUGGAGAGGUCCCGGGUUCGAUGCCUGGACCAGGCG
This is a non-coding RNA of Ixodes scapularis (black-legged tick), 73 nucleotides long. NCBI's taxonomy places the organism in Eukaryota, Metazoa, Arthropoda, Arachnida, Ixodida, Ixodidae. The record is from Rfam.